This 79-nucleotide unclassified non-coding RNA is filed under the name fungal sp. Its description in RNAcentral is "partial internal transcribed spacer region". The record is from RNAcentral. Lineage: Eukaryota; Fungi.
UUCGGAAUUGGUGUGUAUGCAUAGGACCUUCAGUUCGCGAAUGACUUCCUGCACUGCAAAAGCACCGGCCGAUGACUCG